Molecule: long non-coding RNA, 1012 nt
Filed under: Capra hircus (goat)
Lineage: Eukaryota; Metazoa; Chordata; Mammalia; Artiodactyla; Bovidae
Description: lncRNA (ENSCHIG00010005511.1)
Source: RNAcentral
AUGCAUUAUUAUUAUAGCAAAGUUCUACCCUCCCCUAAUCUUCACCACAAUUUCAAGAUUAAAUCGUUUACUAUAAAACAAAAUACAGUCGUCCCUUGGCAUCCACAGGACCCACCCCCCAGUCGUCCUCCACCCCCAUGGACAUCAAAAUCCACAGACAUUCAAGUCUCCUGUAUAAAAUGGCGUGGUAGUAUAAACCCUGCAAAGCUUGUCUCAAAGCAAGGUUUCAUAACUGCAAACCUGGCCAAUUCAGUCCCUAUUUCUGCCUCUACUAUCCCCAAAGUAGGUCACGUGUGUGAAAGUGCUUUUAAAGCAGGCACUUCCAAAUGCCUGUCCCCAUACUGAUGUUAGUCUGUGAUGAUGACUGCAUAGGUUUUCACUGAUAGAAACAAAGAUUCCACUAAGCCAAAUGGAUUCACAUUAUAUAGCUCUCCUGCAUUCAGAGAUUAUGCCCUUCCUAUUUUCCGGGGCUGAAACAACCUUCCUGUCAUGAGGGUGAGGAGGUGCUCACUGAAAUUCCAAAGGCAGGAACUUCUCUUGUCUAGCUCAGGUCAAACUGGUCUCAGGCUGCUCUCAACCAGCCUAUGUCCUGUAACGUUAAUUAGUCAGAAAGCAGACCGCCUCCUCUGAGGCCGGCCAUGAUUUUCUCCUGCUACUACCCCGUGGAACAAGGGAGUCUUUUUGGGAGCUGCUCAUUGGGUGAGCUGUGCUUUCGGACUUCACAACAAAACCACUUCCUCUUGUUGGACACGAGACAUGUGCCUCUCCCAGAGGCUUUGCUAUGGCUGCGUGUCCCCCUCCUCCAUGAGAACAAGGACAGGUGAUGCAGUCUGACGGACCUCAGCAUCCACAGCCCCGCACUCGUCCCAGGGCUCCAAGCCUGCCACGGACGCCUGGUGUUUGAGAACACUAUGCUCCCCAGCAAGAAUACACAGAAGAACUACACAAACAAGAUCUUCACAACCCAGAUAAUCAGGAUGGUGUGAUCACUCACCUGGAGCCAGACAUCCUG